Molecule: ribosomal RNA, 641 nt
Filed under: Staphylococcus aureus
Lineage: Bacteria; Bacillati; Bacillota; Bacilli; Caryophanales; Staphylococcaceae
Description: partial 23S ribosomal RNA
Rfam family: Bacterial large subunit ribosomal RNA
Source: RNAcentral
GGGUGAUGGCGUGCCUUUUGUAGAAUGAACCGGCGAGUUACGAUUUGAUGCAAGGUUAAGCAGUAAAUGUGGAGCCGUAGCGAAAGCGAGUCUGAAUAGGGCGUUUAGUAUUUGGUCGUAGACCCGAAACCAGGUGAUCUACCCUUGGUCAGGUUGAAGUUCAGGUAACACUGAAUGGAGGACCGAACCGACUUACGUUGAAAAGUGAGCGGAUGAACUGAGGGUAGCGGAGAAAUUCCAAUCGAACCUGGAGAUAGCUGGUUCUCUCCGAAAUAGCUUUAGGGCUAGCCUCAAGUGAUGAUUAUUGGAGGUAGAGCACUGUUUGGACGAGGGGCCCCUCUCGGGUUACCGAAUUCAGACAAACUCCGAAUGCCAAUUAAUUUAACUUGGGAGUCAGAACAUGGGUGAUAAGGUCCGUGUUCGAAAGGGAAACAGCCCAGACCACCAGCUAAGGUCCCAAAAUAUAUGUUAAGUGGAAAAGGAUGUGGCGUUGCCCAGACAACUAGGAUGUUGGCUUAGAAGCAGCCAUCAUUUAAAGAGUGCGUAAUAGCUCACUAGUCGAGUGACACUGCGCCGAAAAUGUACCGGGGCUAAACAUAUUACCGAAGCUGUGGAUUGUCCUUUGGACAAUGGUAGGAGAG